Molecule: ribosomal RNA, 605 nt
Filed under: Pseudonocardia alni
Lineage: Bacteria; Bacillati; Actinomycetota; Actinomycetes; Pseudonocardiales; Pseudonocardiaceae
Description: bacterial SSU rRNA
Rfam family: Bacterial small subunit ribosomal RNA
Source: RNAcentral
ACUGGGUCUAAUACCGGAUAGGACCACUGAUCGCAUGUUUGGUGGUGGAAAGUUUUUUCGGUGGGGGAUGGGCCCGCGGCCUAUCAGCUUGUGUGGUGGGGUGAUGGCCUACCAAGGCGGUGAACGGUAACCCGCCUGAGAAGGCUACCGGCCCACCUGGGACUGAAACACGGCCCAAACUCCUACCGGAGGCAGCCGUGGGGAAUAUUGCGCAAUGGGCGGAAGCCUGACGCAACCACGCCGCGUGGAGGAUGAAGGGCUUCCGGUUGUAAACCUUCUUCUCCCGGGACGAAGAGCAAUUGACGGUACCUGGAGAAGAAGCACCGGCCUACUACGUGCCAGCAGCCGCGGUAACACGUAAGGGUGCGAGCGUUGAUCCGGAAUUAUUGGGCGUAAAGAGCUCGUAGGCGGUGCUGUCGCGUCGGGCCGUGAAAACUUGGAGGCUUAACUCUCGAGCGCUGCGGUCGAUUACGGGCAUCACUUGAGUGUCGGCAGGGGAGACUGGAAAUUCCUGGUGUAGCGGUGAAAUGCGCAGAUAUCAGGAGGAACACCGGUGGCGAAAGGCAGGGUCUCUGGGGCGUAUACUGACGCUGAUGAGCGAAAUG